ACGCACGCUGGCGGCGUGCUUCACCCAUGCCAGUCGCACGGUGAAGCCCUUCGGGGUGGAUCAGUGGCGAACGGGUGAGUAACACGUGAGCAACCUGCCCCUGGCUCUGGGACAACCACUGGAAACGGUGGCUAAUACCGGAUACGACCCGCCUCGGCAUCGAGUGUGGGUGGAAAGUUUUUCGGCUGGGGAUGGGCUCGCGGCCUAUCAGCUUGUUGGUGAGGUGAAGGCUCACCAAGGCGACGACGGGUAGCCGGCCUGAGAGGGCGACCGGCCACACUGGGACUGAGACACGGCCCAGACUCCUACGGGAGGCAGCAGUGGGGAAUAUUGCACAAUGGGCGAAAGCCUGAUGCAGCGACGCCGCGUGAGGGAUGACGGCCUUCGGGUUGUAAACCUCUUUCAGCUCCGAAGAAGCGAAAGUGACGGUAGGAGCAGAAGAAGCACCGGCUAACUACGUG
This 461-nucleotide ribosomal RNA is filed under the name uncultured bacterium. RNAcentral describes it as "partial 16S ribosomal RNA". It matches the Rfam family "Bacterial small subunit ribosomal RNA", at positions 29 to 507 of the family's 1533-position model. The record is from RNAcentral.